This 499-nucleotide ribosomal RNA is filed under the name uncultured bacterium. Its description in RNAcentral is "partial 16S ribosomal RNA". It matches the Rfam family "Bacterial small subunit ribosomal RNA", at positions 28 to 507 of the family's 1533-position model. The record is from RNAcentral.
GACGAACGCUGGCGGCGUGCCUAAUACAUGCAAGUCGAGCGAAGUUUUUCUGGUGCUUGCACUAGAAAAACUUAGCGGCGAACGGGUGAGUAACACGUAAAGAACCUGCCUCAUAGACUGGGACAACUAUUGGAAACGAUAGCUAAUACCGGAUAACAGUAUUUCUCGCAUGAGAGAUAAUUAAAAGUUGGUUAUGCUAACACUAUGAGAUGGCUUUGCGGUGCAUUAGCUAGUUGGUGGGGUAAAGGCCCACCAAGGCGACGAUGCAUAGCCGACCUGAGAGGGUGAUCGGCCACACUGGGACUGAGACACGGCCCAGACUCCUACGGGAGGCAGCAGUAGGGAAUCUUCCGCAAUGGGCGAAAGCCUGACGGAGCAACGCCGCGUGAGUGAAGAAGGAUUUCGGUUCGUAAAGCUCUGUUGUUAGGGAAGAAUGGAUAUGUAGUAACUAUACAUGUAAGAGACGGUACCUAACCAGAAAGCCACGGCUAACUACGUG